GACGAACGCUGGCGGCGUGCCUAAUACAUGCAAGUCGAGCGGACGGAUGGGAGCUUGCUCCCAGCCCGUCAGCGGCGAACGGGUGAGUAACACGUGGGCAACCUGCCUGUAAGACUGGGAUAACUCCGGGAAACCGGGGCUAAUACCGGAUAACUCUUUCCCUCACAUGAGGGAAAGCUGAAAGAUGGCAUCUCGCUAUCACUUACAGAUGGGCCCGCGGCGCAUUAGCUAGUUGGUGAGGUAACGGCUCACCAAGGCGACGAUGCGUAGCCGACCUGAGAGGGUGAUCGGCCACACUGGGACUGAGACACGGCCCAGACUCCUACGGGAGGCAGCAGUAGGGAAUCUUCCGCAAUGGACGAAAGUCUGACGGAGCAACGCCGCGUGAGUGAUGAAGGUUUUCGGAUCGUAAAACUCUGUUGUCAGGGAAGAACAAGUACCGGAGUAACUGCCGGUACCUUGACGGUACCUGACCAGAAAGCCACGGCUAACUACGUG
RNAcentral lists this ribosomal RNA (498 nucleotides) under uncultured bacterium. RNAcentral's name for it is "partial 16S ribosomal RNA". It matches the Rfam family "Bacterial small subunit ribosomal RNA", at positions 28 to 507 of the family's 1533-position model. The record is from RNAcentral.